RNAcentral lists this unclassified non-coding RNA (639 nucleotides) under Lactuca serriola (prickly lettuce). RNAcentral's name for it is "sequence contains ITS1, 5.8S rRNA gene and ITS2". The stretch from base 257 to 412 matches the Rfam family "5.8S ribosomal RNA". The record is from RNAcentral. Lineage: Eukaryota; Viridiplantae; Streptophyta; Magnoliopsida; Asterales; Asteraceae.
UCGAACCCUGCAAGGCAGAACGACCCGUGAACAUGUAACCACAACGGGGUGACCGUGAUAAGGGCCUCGGUCCUUAUCCCCUAACCCUUCCCGACGUGAGUUCGUGGUGUCUUUUUUGGGGCAUCAUGGAUUCCGUUGGACCAUAACAAAACCCCGGCACGGUAUGUGCCAAGGAAAACAAAAAUGAGAAGGACACUACCUGUUUCGCCCCGUUUGCGGUGUGCGUACAGGUCGUGGCCUCCUUGGAAUCACAAACGACUCUCGGCAACGGAUAUCUCGGCUCACGCAUCGAUGAAGAACGUAGCAAAAUGCGAUACUUGGUGUGAAUUGCAGAAUCCCGUGAACCAUCGAGUUUUUGAACGCAAGUUGCGCCCGAAGCCAUCCGGCUGAGGGCACGCCUGCCUGGGCGUCACGCAUCGCGUCGCUCCCCACCAUACCUCCCCAACGGGUUGGCAUGGUGUUGGGGGCGGAUAAUGGCCUCCCGUGCUUGUGUUUCGGUUGGCCUAAAUAAGAGUUCCCUUCGGCGGACACACGACUAGUGGUGGUUGAAUAGACCCUCGUCUUUUGUUGCGUGUCGUGAGCUGUAAGGGUAGCCCUCAUCAAAGACCCCAUUGUAUYGUCUUCGGAUGAUGCUUCGAC